Long non-coding RNA from Asparagus officinalis (garden asparagus), 278 nucleotides. RefSeq lists it as uncharacterized. Lineage: Eukaryota; Viridiplantae; Streptophyta; Magnoliopsida; Asparagales; Asparagaceae. The record is from RefSeq and is a predicted model, not a curated record. The transcript has 2 exons.
GAGUUUCUCUCUCCUGCGGAGAAUUACGUUACCGUACCAAAGAAAUUGUUUUUUUUUUAUCUUGGAGACCAACAAGUCAGGUGAGCUUGAAUUGGUCCCUGUGGUAUCCAAUGCGCUACAGAGCCUGCAAUGACGAUUGGUCAGGAUUCUGUCAAGAUACAGUCAAGGGAAUGAAGGUGAUAUACUAGUAUAAUUAUUAUUGAUAUGUAUUUAUUAGUUGGUGCCUGCAAGAUGCUAUCAUGCAAUUUGAAUAGCAAAAUCAUUUGGACGGUAAAUUA